This 140-nucleotide ribosomal RNA is filed under the name uncultured bacterium. RNAcentral describes it as "partial 16S ribosomal RNA". It matches the Rfam family "Bacterial small subunit ribosomal RNA", at positions 352 to 509 of the family's 1533-position model. The record is from RNAcentral.
CAGUGGGGAAUAUUGCACAAUGGGGGAAACCCUGAUGCAGCGACGCCGCGUGAGCGAUGAAGUAUUUCGGUAUGUAAAGCUCUAUCAGCAGGGAAGAAAAUGACGGUACCUGACUAAGAAGCCCCGGCUAACUACGUGCC